This 201-nucleotide ribosomal RNA is filed under the name uncultured bacterium. RNAcentral's name for it is "partial 16S ribosomal RNA". It matches the Rfam family "Bacterial small subunit ribosomal RNA", at positions 524 to 724 of the family's 1533-position model. The record is from RNAcentral.
UACGUAGGGUGCGAGCGUUGUCCGGAAUUAUUGGGCGUAAAGAGCUUGUAGGUGGCUCGUUGCGUCGGGAGUGAAAACCUGCGGCUUAACCGCAGGCCUGCUUCCGAUACGGGCGAGCUAGAGUUCGGCAGGGGAGACUGGAAUUCCUGGUGUAGCGGUGGAAUGCGCAGAUAUCAGGAGGAACACCGGUGGCGAAGGCGG